GAUGGAGGUGUGACUAGGUAAUGGGGAUGGAGGUGUGACUAGGUACUAGGGAUGGAGGUGUGACUAGGGAUGGAGGUGUGACCAGGCACUAGGGAUGGAGGUGUGACUAGGUACUAUGGAUGGAGGUGUGACUAGGUACUAGGGAUGGAGGUGUGACUAGGGAUGGAGGUAUGACUAGGUACUGGGGAUGGAGGUGUGACCAGGCACUAGGGAUGGAGGUGUGACUAGAGAUGGAGGUGUGACAAGAUACUAGGGAAGGAGGUGUGAAAAGGUACUAGGGAUGGAGGUGUGAAAAAGUACUAGGGAUGGAGAUGUGACUAGGGAUGGAGGUGUGACUAGGUACUGGGGAUGGAGGUGUGACUAGGUACUAGGGAUGGAGGUGUGACUAGGUACUAGGGAUGGAGGUGUGACCAGGUAUUAGGGAUGGAGGUGUGACCAGGUACUAGGGAUGGAGGUGUGACCAGGUACUAGGGAUGGAGGUGUGACCAGGUACUAGGGAUGGAGGUGUGACCAGGCACUAGGGAUGGAGGUGUGACCAGGCACUAAGGAUGGAGUUGUGACCAGGUACUAGUGAUGGAGGUUUGACCAGGUACUAGGGAUGGAGGUGUAACGGA
Molecule: long non-coding RNA, 614 nt
Organism: Oncorhynchus tshawytscha (Chinook salmon)
Lineage: Eukaryota; Metazoa; Chordata; Actinopteri; Salmoniformes; Salmonidae
Source: Ensembl